UCGAAAGAACACGUUCGCACAACUUUUACACGACAAACAGCUGAUUUCCGUUCCACUAAAAUCCAUCAGAACGAAAAUUUGUACGAAAAUCAAAGCGAACGAAAACGUAAGCGUUUCAGUGUAAUUUUGCGUUCCACUAUCUUUUUUCUUACGUACGCAUGCGAACACAAAUGUCAAAAUCAGUCACUUGUGUGUUUGCUGUCGAAUGAUAAAAAUUAAGGAAAAUUGUUUUAACAUAAACAUUCCUUGAUUGAAAAUGGAAAGAAAAAUCACGAAAAAACUACACAGCUGCGGGCACUAGUUGAGUAUAUGGGGGAGAAUCCUAAGUUCGGCAGAGGAGUGCCAAUUUUUGGAAGCAGCAGGCAAUCCCAUGAAGACCACUGGAAGACACAAACCUAGAAAAAAUCAUUUUUUUAUUAUUUCAAAAAUGUAAAAAUACAAUCAUACUUACUGGUUGUUAUGUACUUCAAAUAAAGUCGAAGCAUCUCUUAAA
Long non-coding RNA from Musca domestica (house fly), 493 nucleotides. RefSeq lists it as uncharacterized. The record is from RefSeq and is a predicted model, not a curated record. Lineage: Eukaryota; Metazoa; Arthropoda; Insecta; Diptera; Muscidae. The transcript has 2 exons.